UAAAUCUCCACCCAUGAGUCUACCUUGUACACAUUAACACUUUGUCUGCUGCACUGCCAUUUCUGAUACUCUGAAGUAUUAUGGAUGUGCUAAGGCCUUGUUCUUCCAAAUGGUGGAUCCAUCGUCUGGGUGUAUCCUCAGCUGCCUCAGGUGCCUGUGCUAGGCCCCACUUCUAAAGCCUAUCACCAGCCAAGGUGGAGCACCGCUGCAGCCAGCAAUUAGCUAAGCGGCAUUGUGACGUGUCGGGCCCCAGAAGCAGGAAGAAGAUCACACAGAGAACGGGACAGUGAGAACAGCGGCAAAGGGGGAGCCUUUUAGAUCCACUUACCUGAUACGAUGUCCGGAUUGGUGGUCCUCUCUGCAAUCAAAAUUUCUUCAAGUUCCAGGUGUCAUCGUCAUCCUUUCAAUCUUCAUCCUUGGAGAAAGAAGAAACUGUUAAUUACUUCCGUUCAUCAUGUCUAUACAGUUCUACUUACAGUUUAUUUACUAGCAGAUAUCUCAUCGAGAAAGAAGGAAGUGUUCACUGAUUACAGACCUUUUAUGAACUAUCCCACAUUUUGAUUGGAUACUCUUCCUCACUCAUGUU
Molecule: long non-coding RNA, 586 nt
Organism: Hyla sarda
Lineage: Eukaryota; Metazoa; Chordata; Amphibia; Anura; Hylidae
Exons: 4
Source: RefSeq, a predicted model, not a curated record